CCUACGGGAGGCAGCAGUGGGGGAUAUUGCACAAUGGGGGGAACCCUGAUGCAGCGACGCCGCGUGGGGGAAUGAAGGUCUUCGGAUUGUAAACCCCUGUCAUGUGGGAGCAAAUUAAAAAGAUAGUACCACAAGAGGAAGAGACGACUAACUCUGUGCCAGCAGCCGCGGUAAUACAGAGGUCUCAAGCGUUGUUCGGAAUCACUGGGCGUAAAGCGUGCGUAGGCUGUUUCGUAAGUCGUGUGUGAAAGGCGCGGGCUCAACCCGCGGACGGCACAUGAUACUGCGAGACUAGAGUAAUGGAGGGGGAACCGGAAUUCUCGGUGUAGCAGGGAAAUGCGUAGAUAUCGAGAGGAACACUCGUGGCGAAGGCGGGUUCCUGGACAUUAACUGACGCUGAGGCACGAAGGCCAGGGGAGCGAAAGGGAUUAGAUACCCUGGUAGUC
This 446-nucleotide ribosomal RNA is filed under the name uncultured bacterium. Its description in RNAcentral is "partial 16S ribosomal RNA". It matches the Rfam family "Bacterial small subunit ribosomal RNA", at positions 338 to 795 of the family's 1533-position model. The record is from RNAcentral.